Cercocebus atys (sooty mangabey) is the source of this 138-nucleotide small nuclear RNA. Its record names the gene U4. It matches the Rfam family "U4 spliceosomal RNA". From Rfam's summary of the family: U4 small nuclear RNA (U4 snRNA) is a component of the major U2-dependent spliceosome. The structure of U4 snRNA from yeast and human has been reported. U4 snRNA presents a k-turn RNA motif in the 5p-SL related to recognition of Snu13 protein. The record is from Ensembl. Lineage: Eukaryota; Metazoa; Chordata; Mammalia; Primates; Cercopithecidae.
AGCUUUGCACAGUGGCAGUACCAUAGCCAAUAAGGGUUAUCUGAGGUGUAAUUAUUGCAUGAAAAUGUUUCCCAAUACUCCGUCAUGAUGACUUGAAAUAGAGUCAACAUUGGCAAUCUUUGACAGUCUCUACGGAGA